AGGGGACAGACAGGAGGCAGACACGAGACAGACAGGAGGCAGACAGGAGACAGUCAGGAGACAGACCGGAGACAGACAGGAGACAGACAGGAGACAAACAUGAGACAGACAGGAGACAGACAGGAGACAGACCGGAGACAGACAGGAGAUAGACCGGAGACAGACAGGAGACAGACAGGAGGCAGACAGGAGACAGACAGGAUACAGACAGGAUGCAGACAGGAUGCAGACAGGAGACAGACAGGAGACAGACAGGAGACAUACAGGAGACAGACAGGAGAUAGACAGGAGGCAGACACAGGAAAGGCAGGAGGCAGACAGGAGACAUACAGGAGACAGCAGGGGACAGACAGGAGGCAGACACGAGACAGACAGGAGGCAGACAGGAGACAGACAGGGGACAGACAGGAGACAGACAGGAGGCAGACAGGAGACAGACAGGAUACAGACAGGAUGCAGACAGGAUGCAGACAGGAGACAGACAGGAGACAGACAGGAGUAUACAGGAGACAGACAGGAGAUAGACAGGAGGCAGACACAGGAAAGGCAGGAGACAGACAGGAGACAAACAGGAGACAGACAGGAGACAGACCGGAGACAGACAGGAGACAGACAGGAGGCAGACAGGAGACAGACAGGAUACAGACAGGAUGCAGACAGGAUGCAGACAGGAGACAGACAGGAGACAGACAGGAGACAUACAGGAGACAGACAGGAGAUAGACAGGAGGCAGACACAGGAAAGGCAGGAGGCAGACAGGAGACAGACAGGGGACAGACAGGAGACAGACCAGAGGCAGACACGAGACAGUCAGGAGGCAGACAGGAGACAGACAGGGGACAGACAGGAGACAGACAGGAGAUAGACAGGAGGCAGACACAGGAAAGGCAAGAGGCAGACAGGAGACAGACAGGGGACAGACAGGAGACAGACAGGAGGCAGACAGGAGAUAGACCGGAGACAGACAGGAGACAGACAGGAGGCAGAC
Long non-coding RNA from Oncorhynchus tshawytscha (Chinook salmon), 988 nucleotides. NCBI's taxonomy places the organism in Eukaryota, Metazoa, Chordata, Actinopteri, Salmoniformes, Salmonidae. The record is from Ensembl.